AAAUUGAAGAGUUUGAUCAUGGCUCAGAUUGAACGCUGGCGGCAGGCCUAACACAUGCAAGUCGAACGGUAACAGGAAGCAGCUUGCUGCUUCGCUGACGAGUGGCGGACGGGUGAGUAAUGUCUGGGAAACUGCCUGAUGGAGGGGGGUAACUACUGGAAACGGUGGCUAAUACCGCAUAACGUCGCAAGACCAAAGAGGGGGACCUUCGGGCCUCUUGCCAUCAGAUGUGCCCAGAUGGGAUUAGCUUGUUGGUGAGGUAACGGCUCACCAAGGCGACGAUCCCUAGCUGGUCUGAGAGGAUGACCAGCCACACUGGAACUGAGACACGGUCCAGACUCCUACGGGAGGCAGCAGUGG
Molecule: ribosomal RNA, 360 nt
Filed under: Salmonella enterica subsp. enterica serovar Braenderup
Lineage: Bacteria; Pseudomonadati; Pseudomonadota; Gammaproteobacteria; Enterobacterales; Enterobacteriaceae
Description: bacterial SSU rRNA
Rfam family: Bacterial small subunit ribosomal RNA
Source: RNAcentral